RNAcentral lists this ribosomal RNA (738 nucleotides) under Theba subdentata helicella. RNAcentral describes it as "partial 16S ribosomal RNA". The record is from RNAcentral. Lineage: Eukaryota; Metazoa; Mollusca; Gastropoda; Stylommatophora; Helicidae.
UAUAUCUAUUAGGAUAAUAAAAUUACGUAGUAUAGUAAUUGUUAAAUGUAUUUUUAGGGGUGAUAGGCUUAUCAAAUUUGUGGAUAACUUGAUACAUAAUAAAAUUAUUAAGUAAAUAGACAUAUUCUAAAAGUUAAGCUUUAGAAUAGAAAUUAAUUUAGAUAAAUGUAUUCAUUAUAGUUUAAUAGCUAAUUUAUAAAUACUUAAUUAUUAUUUUCUUUAGUUUAUUUUAUUUAUUAUGUUAUAUUUAUUAAGAUGGAUAUUGAUAAUGUUAAUAUAAGUAAUAUUAUUAAAUAAGUAACAUGAACUCGGCAAGAUAUUUUUCAACUGUUUAUCAAAAACAUAACUGUAUGAUAUUAAAUACAGCUUUUCCUGCUCAAUGAUAUUAAAUAGCCGCAGUACCCUGACUGUGCAAAGGUAGCAUAAUCAGUUGGCUCAUAAUUGGAGUCUGGAAUGAAUGGAUUUUUGGAAAAUAACUUUAUUUUACUUAUUUAUUUGAAAUUAGUUUAUAAGUGAAAAUACUUAUAUUUAUAUAAAGGACGAGAAGACCCUAGAAAUUUCUUUUCUUUUGUUGGGGCGACAGAAUUACAUGAAACUAAUUUAAUAAUUACGUGACGUUAAUUACAGUUUGAUUAAAUUACUCUAGGGAUAACAGCAUAAUUUUAAUAGUUUGUGACCUCGAUGUUGGACUAGGAUAUUAAUGGUUUAGAAGACUUUUAAGAUUGCUCUGUUCGAGCU